GACGAACGCUGGCGGCGUGCUUAACACAUGCAAGUCGAACGGAAAGGCCCUGCUUGCAGGGUACUCGAGUGGCGAACGGGUGAGUAACACGUGGGUGAUCUGCCCUGCACUUCGGGAUAAGCCUGGGAAACUGGGUCUAAUACCGGAUAGGAGCCAUUUUUAGUGUGAUGGUUGGAAAGUUUUUUCGGUGUAGGAUGAGCUCGCGGCCUAUCAGCUUGUUGGUGGGGUAAUGGCCUACCAAGGCGGCGACGGGUAGCCGGCCUGAGAGGGUGGACGGCCACAUUGGGACUGGGAUACGGCCCAGACGCCUACGGGAGGCAGCAGUGGGGAAUAUUGCACAAUGGGCGCAAGCCUGAUGCAGCGACGCCGCGUGGGGGAUGACGGCCUUCGGGUUGGAAACUCCUUUCGCUAGGGACGAAGCUUUUUGUGACGGUACCUAGAUAAGAAGUACCGGCUAACUACGUG
RNAcentral lists this ribosomal RNA (465 nucleotides) under uncultured bacterium. RNAcentral describes it as "partial 16S ribosomal RNA". It matches the Rfam family "Bacterial small subunit ribosomal RNA", at positions 28 to 507 of the family's 1533-position model. The record is from RNAcentral.